UGUUCUGGCGCUGUUACAUUCAUCGGUGAGUACCUCUUGUUAGUCAAGAAGGCAACUCUGCACCCUUCUCCUCCUGUGACAUCUAUAUUCACACCUAUAACUUGUGGACGUUCUAAAGGUAUCCUCGCCUGGCAACAUCUGAAACCAUCGCAGACCGAGUUUGUUACUUGCUGACUACGUUUACUGUCUUGGCAGCUCGAUUCACAACCUAUGAUCUCUGAUUCUAUAUCUGUAAGAGAUGUCUUGGCACCGCAACCAACCGCCACGAGACGGUUUUGGUCUGUGAGAAAAUAUGGACUGC
This 301-nucleotide long non-coding RNA is filed under the name Brassica rapa (field mustard). RNAcentral describes it as "long non-coding RNA (BRAP_LNC007382)". Lineage: Eukaryota; Viridiplantae; Streptophyta; Magnoliopsida; Brassicales; Brassicaceae. The record is from RNAcentral.